Molecule: ribosomal RNA, 591 nt
Filed under: Hafnia paralvei
Lineage: Bacteria; Pseudomonadati; Pseudomonadota; Gammaproteobacteria; Enterobacterales; Hafniaceae
Description: bacterial SSU rRNA
Rfam family: Bacterial small subunit ribosomal RNA
Source: RNAcentral
UUAAUUGAAGAGUUUGAUCAUGGCUCAGAUUGAACGCUGGCGGCAGGCCUAACACAUGCAAGUCGAGCGGUAGCACAAGAGAGCUUGCUCUCUGGGUGACGAGCGGCGGACGGGUGAGUAAUGUCUGGGAAACUGCCUGAUGGAGGGGGAUAACUACUGGAAACGGUAGCUAAUACCGCAUGACGUCUUCGGACCAAAGUGGGGGACCUUCGGGCCUCACGCCAUCAGAUGUGCCCAGAUGGGAUUAGCUAGUAGGUGGGGUAAUGGCUCACCUAGGCGACGAUCUCUAGCUGGUCUGAGAGGAUGACCAGCCACACUGGAACUGAGACACGGUCCAGACUCCUACGGGAGGCAGCAGUGGGGAAUAUUGCACAAUGGGCGCAAGCCUGAUGCAGCCAUGCCGCGUGUAUGAAGAAGGCCUUCGGGUUGUAAAGUACUUUCAGCGAGGAGGAAGGCAUUAAGGUUAAUAACCUUAGUGAUUGACGUUACUCGCAGAAGAAGCACCGGCUAACUCCGUGCCAGCAGCCGCGGUAAUACGGAGGGUGCAAGCGUUAAUCGGAAUUACUGGGCGUAAAGCGCACGCAGGCGGUU